This 382-nucleotide ribosomal RNA is filed under the name uncultured bacterium. RNAcentral describes it as "bacterial SSU rRNA". It matches the Rfam family "Bacterial small subunit ribosomal RNA", at positions 362 to 750 of the family's 1533-position model. The record is from RNAcentral.
UUUUGGACAAUGGGCGCAAGCAUGAUCCAGCCAUGCCGCGUGUGUGAAGAAGGCCUUCGGGUUGUAAAGCACUUUCGGCCGGAACGAAAUCGCCUACGUUAAUAGCGGAGGUGGAUGACGGUACCGGAAGAAGAAGCACCGGCUAACUACGUGCCAGCAGCCGCGGUAAUACGUAGGGUGCAGGCGUUAAUCGGAAUUACUGGGCGAAAGCGUGCGCAGGCGGUUUGUUAAGACAGGUGUGAAAUCCCCGGGCUUAACCUGGGAAUUGCGCUUGAACUGGCAGACUGGAGUGUGGCAAGGGGGGUGAAUUCCAAGUGAGCAGUAAAUGCGAGUUUUGAGAACACCAUGGCAAGGAGCCCCCUGGCAAACUGCGUAUGCAAAA